RNAcentral lists this unclassified non-coding RNA (259 nucleotides) under uncultured fungus. RNAcentral describes it as "sequence contains ITS1, 5.8S rRNA gene". The stretch from base 211 to 259 matches the Rfam family "5.8S ribosomal RNA", at positions 1 to 49 of the family's 154-position model. The record is from RNAcentral. Lineage: Eukaryota; Fungi.
UUUCCGUAGGUGAACCUGCGGAAGGAUCAUUAAUGAAAGUUGGGCUUCGGCCCUCUCUCUUCUAAACACUUGUGAACUUACCCUGUUGCUUUGGCAGGUCUCCGGAAGGACUCUUCAAGAGUCUCGAAGGUCAGAUCGAAAGGUGCCUGCCAAAGACAUUAUACCACCCUAUUUUAAUUGUCUGAUUUUUGUUUUUACAAACCAAAAUAAAACUUUCAACAAUGGAUCUCUUGGCUCUGGCAUCGAUGAAGAACGCAGC